UUUGGAGUUUAAGGAAAAGGUUAGGGCUUGUGCUAUAAAUUGGGAAAUUCAGAUACAGUAUUUAAGCCAUAGGACAGUAUGAGACCACUCAGAAGUGAACACAAUGCAAAGAGAUGGUCUGGGGAUUGAACCAGAUAUCAGGAAGAGGAGGAGGACGGCCAGAGGACACAGGGAAGGAGUAACCACUGAUGUAGAAGGAAAGCCAGAAGUGUGAUGUUCUAGAAGCCAAGGAAAAAAAAAAAUUGAAGGAGGGAGUUGAUCAACUGGGUCAAAUGCCAUUGAGACACUGAGUAAGAUGCGGCCUAAGCACUGACUGGUGCGUACCUGUGCUUGCAGAGUAACAAAUGCAAUCAGAGAGGUAAUACAGUUCUUACUGGGAAAGAACAGAGGUGACCACCGGGUGGGAAGAUUCGUGUCCCCGCCAACCAGUGCUGCACUUAACACUUCCUCCCUAUACCAGAUGGGGUUUUGGUUGCUGUGUACUCCUCCUUGCCAGGAACUGAAGGACUACUCAGCUGGGUGAGUAGGGGGUGGGUGCAGGAGGGUAAGAUGAGGGAGAGGGCAAGAGCAUGAAGCCAGUUCAGUCUGUUUCAAGCCAACUGUAACCCGCUCUUGCUGCCUGCGCAUUUCUUCUGGGCAUGCAGGGUCAUGGAUAGGACUUGGCAUUCAGCAAACAGUGAACGAAUGAAUGCAUCUCAGUGGCAAAACUUGUCUUUGAAUCUUCUCAACUCAAUUUCUUUGUCACUGGGCACCAUAAAACCAGAGUGUCGCAGGAUAUUAGCUCCUGAAAGCCAAAGGCUGCUGCCAGCAUUUCUCUAGCUCUGAGAAGUGGAGCUUGGCAUCAGCCUGUGAAAGUGGGCUGGCCUAAUUCUUGAAAUACAAAAUAAAGCUAGUUCAUAUUAACACAACUUCUUUGCCAGCAGUUUUUCCCCUGGGAGCUUGUGAUGUCUGACUGGUGGUUGUGGAUAAAUUGCCCCAUGAAGGCUGGCCUACUGCAGGGAUCAUUUCUGGGCUGAGCUUACCUGCCAAGGAGGGCAGCCGGACCGAAGGCCCCUGCUUGGCCCCUACCUGGAGAGGACAGGAACGUGGCUCAGUCUCUGAUUGGGUCUCUGGGGAUGUGCCCCUCUCAUCCCCUCCCCGAGGCCAACCUCGGCAGUUCCUGGCAGAGAUCUUAAUGUCGCCUCAGAGGCACAUUUCCCUCUGCUGCUUUGUGGCUGAGUGAGCCUCUCAAAGGAAGGUACAUAUCUGCCCUAUCAGGUUGAAAAAAAAAAAAAGCUGGAUUUUUUUUUUCAUGCAAAACCAUGAUAGAAUGUUUAUUUUUUGUUUAAGUUUGCAGGUUUGUCUCCAUCUUUGUCCCAGAAUAAGGUAGACGAAUGGCCUGUGAGGGAGCCAUGUGCAGGCUGGGCCGGCUGGUGCUGCAGAUGCUGUUAGCUGGGUUCAAAGCUGAUAUAUGCCCAGGAGUGGAGUUACUGGAUCUUAUGGUCUUGAAUGUGCUAAUAAUUUGCACAGCUGAGAAAUCAGAUGACUUUUUUUCCCCAGCUGAAGUCCAUGUACAUGUGAAGUGAUCCAGGUGGAAGGGGUGGUGGUGAAAAUUUCCUGGUCCUAGAAUGAAUAGAAAGGGAAGCAGUUUGUUUUUCAUCUGUGACUGAGAGCUUGCAUAGGCCCCAAGAGAAAACUCAAGUGUUAAGUGAUGAAAAGAAUAAAAUAAAUCUCGGAUCCCAGACUAGGGAUAUAGAUUCACACACGUAAUCUUCCACACCUGUAUGCACAAUUUUCAAUUUGAUAUCUCAAGAUGGAGUCAAAUGUGUCUGCGAGCUUCACUGACCUCUUUGUGACAGAUUGUGCAGAGGGUCUGCAGGUUGUCCAGGGAGCACUGUCCUCCUCCACCAGACACUGGCUUGAUGUGGUCCACCUGCCAGAAAUGCCCUUCCCCUGGGUUUCUUAUCAUUUCAUUAAGCUGUAAUAAGAACACAAGAUCAGCAAUUUUCAACAUACACUGUGGGAACUGUUGGGUUUGCAUUGUGCAAUCAUGUUCACACAGCAGAAUCACAGGGAAAAAUACAUUAGGAUGGUUUAGCUUUUUUUUUUUUAUAUAGCUUUUAUUGUGAGUAGGAAAAACCCUCUAGGUUAGCAAUUUGAAAGCAAUAAAAAAUAUGUUUCUGAAAAAGGUUUUUUCCCCCCCUUACCUAACCCAUUUUGAAAAAAUUACAAGUAUAAAAUACCAAGCCUUCUGACAGACUGGGAAUAAUCAAUUGCUUCUGCACCUUUGAGCUAGUUUAUAUAGUCACUAAAACAAAACUGAGAAAAAAAAAAAAGAACAGAUUAGAAAUGAAAAACUUCUGAAUAUUACUGACUCGUCUUUUAAUUGUUGACCUAAAUGCAUUUGUUAGUAUACCAAUGACAGUUUAAUAUUAACAGAUAUCACCCAGAACUUUUAUGCUAUUACCUGGGAACCUCCUAAGUUACAUGGACUGGAAUCAAAUUUCUAGAACAAAUCUCUGUUGCUUGCAUAUUUGGAAUAAAAAAGAUGUUCAUUUAAAGCAGCCACUAUUUAGGCCAGUCCAUAUAUGCAUACUUCAUAUUUAACGAAUAAUAACCUACAUUCAAACGGGAUGUAUUUUAGCAUUUUAUCUGAGGUAGUAAAACCAGCUCACAACAUAGCAGUGUAGAGUUGUUUAAAUAUCACAAAGACGAGUGUGAAGACGAUAUUAUAAUAUCUUCCUUGUUCCUUGGUCUUGAACAAGGAAGAUAUUAUAAUCGACUUCAAGGCUGCUGGCCAUGGGAAUCUGUGACAUAGCUCUAAAGUGCUUUAGGAAAGUUGUCAGGCCCAUGGAUGGCUCAGGGACCUUAGCAGCAGUGUCUGGCCCAAGAGCAGCCCCAGGAAGCAGCAAAUUGGAGCAGUAACCUUUGUCCACCUUAACUCUGUUACAGAUGGACUGACUGUCUCUUCUACACUGAACUUCCCAAAUUCUGUUAGAAGAUAUAUAAUGAUUUUUAUUUUUGAGGUUGGCAUUGUGGGAGGAGACUUCAUGUGGCAGUCUUGUGCAUCAAGCAAAUGGCAUAUUCUUAGGAAAAAAAAAUCCAUUUUGGUUCUGUCUUUUGUAACCGAUUCUUCUGUGCCGAGCAGUCUCCAUUCUGACAGAUCCUGUGAUCCAGAAGGUGCUUCUUUAUUCUUCCCAGCAAUUCGGAAUCACUUGGGGCCAGUCUUCAACAUCCUAAACUCACCUCCAGAAAGAAUCACUCCCUCUCCCACUGGUCAUUCCAUCUGGGCCCUGCGGUGCUCCUGAUUCUCUGAGUGCUUCUCUUUUAGAUGUGUACUGUGUAACUUGUGCAUUCUUGGACAGACUGCUUUCAAGAUGUUCUUGAGUCAUUUCAUUGUGUGUCUUCUGGAAGCCUCCACAUGGAGGCAGCAGCAAGCAACUGGAGUCUGGCUGACACCUCCGGGAUGGGUGUGACGUGACCCUCACCAGUUAGACCAAAGGAUCUUUCAGGAACUCUGGAUAACAUUAGGGGAAGAGUGCAUUUCCCUAACAAAGUCAUGCUAAUUCAUCUUUGCAGAAAUGCUUAUUAAUUCUGUCAUGAUUCAGCAAUACUAGGUAAAUAAAAAUAUAAGAUUUGACUCCCUGGCUGGAACUUACCCAAUAUUUUAGCAGACGGAGAGUGAUUUUUUUCAAAACUAAGCUUACUACAAAAUUACACAUUUUGCUCUAGUUUGAAAUUUAGUACUUAUCAGAUCACAACACUGGAAAUCCAACUGAGUUUUGGGAGUCAAAGUAAAUACUGAGAAUAGUGUGCUAAGAAUACUAUUUUUGUCAUGAAUUACAUUUUACAAUGGGAUAAACAUAUAUAAGUUUUCUUCUCAUUGUAACGACUACAUUUUGGGGGUUAUCUGUUUACCCCUUGUCAUUCAAUAUUAACACCAUGAAAAGUGGAACAAGCAUACCGUAAGUGCCUCUCAAUGCAAUGUACCAUCUGUUAAGGUCUCUUCCCAAAAUAAUCUAGUCAGAAUCUAAUUAAACCUCUAGAUCUUAUAACCAUUAUUCAGGAAAUCAGGGGGGAUAGAGAAACAUGUCAGACAACAUCAUGAGGAUACAGGGAGACAAAUCCAGAAUGUGGGAAAUUCUAAAGGCAAAUGUAACAAUUUAUAGUGUAAAAAAGGGAUGGGGUGAUAUUACAGAUUAUAUGGAACGUAAAAGGUGUAAUGACCAAAUGCAAUGUGUGGGUGAUAUUUUGAUCCUAAUUUGAAGAAAGCAAUUGUAAAAAGACAUUUCUGAGAGAACAUGGGAAACCAAACACGGACUUACUAUAACUGCGGAAUUAUAAUUGUGUUGGGUGUGAUAAUGGAUAUUGGGAUAUUUAAAAGAGAGACCUAUGAUGAAGAAACCAUAAUGGAAGAGAAUAUUAAAAAAAGAAUGUAUAUAUAUGUAUAACUGAGUCAUUUUUCUGUACAGUAGUAAUUAACACAACAUUGUAAAUCAACUAUACUUCAAUUAAAAGAAUAAAUAAAUAAAUAAUAAAAGAGAGAAAGAAAAAGGGGGGGAGGGAGAAAGAAAGUCUUUAUCUGUGAGACACACAUAAUGAAAGUAUUUAAGGGUGAAAUGAAACGCUGUCUGGAAUUUGGUUUAAAAUAAUUCCAGGAGAGAGAAAGAAUUGAGGUGAGGGACAGAUGAAGAUGAAUGGCAAAAUGUUGAUAACUGUUAAAGUUUGGUGAUGGGUAUGUGGGUCCAUCAUUCUCUCUACUUUUGUAUAUGUAUUUGAAAAUCCCCAUAUUA
Long non-coding RNA from Lagenorhynchus albirostris (white-beaked dolphin), 4772 nucleotides. RefSeq lists it as uncharacterized. Lineage: Eukaryota; Metazoa; Chordata; Mammalia; Artiodactyla; Delphinidae. The transcript is spliced from 4 exons. The record is from RefSeq and is a predicted model, not a curated record.